UACGAAGGGGGCUAGCGUUGCUCGGAAUCACUGGGCGUAAAGCGCACGUAGGCGGCUUGCUAAGUCAGGGGUGAAAUCCUGGAGCUCAACUCCAGAACUGCCUUUGAUACUGGCGACCUUGAGUCCGGGAGAGGUGAGUGGAACUGCGAGUGUAGAGGUGAAAUUCGUAGAUAUUCGCAAGAACACCAGUGGCGAAGGCGACUACCUGGCCUGUUCUUGACGCUGAGGCGCGAAAGCUAGGGGAGCAAACGGG
RNAcentral lists this ribosomal RNA (253 nucleotides) under uncultured bacterium. Its description in RNAcentral is "partial 16S ribosomal RNA". It matches the Rfam family "Bacterial small subunit ribosomal RNA", at positions 524 to 776 of the family's 1533-position model. The record is from RNAcentral.